GCGGGUCUCCUUAAAGGAAAAUGAAAUCCCCAAAUUUUUUAAACCCCCACCUUGUUCUCCCUCGUCUCCACCCCGGCCCUCACCCACAUUCGCCGCCUCCAAUCAUUGUUGCCUCCUCUAGCCUCAGACUGCGCGUACUGUUCGUCUUAUAACAAAAUCGUAAGGGAUCUAGGGUUUUUUUCAAAAGGAUGCUCACUGCAAAGUUCGUUACAUAUGCUCACUUCCGCUCACUUCUUACCUCCGGAGACCUCCUCUCGACUCUUCCCACUGGCGACCUCGAGCUCAUCUCACCUCACCGAGACUGCAACGACUGAUCAAUUUUACAAGCCUUCGUUUAAGAGCCAACCAUUUACGACUCCUCACGCUGACAAAAAUAUGAUUUAGGGAUCGUUACAUUAUGCUUAUGUCAAACUUACAAGGAGAUUAAGGGCAUUGUGACUUAUCCUUGUCGCCAUCUAUGAACUAGUGAAGCCCAAUAUAGGUCGCAUCGUUUAAGGUAUAGGUAGCCUUUCCUCUUCCACAAAUCAACAUGCAAGUUGUCUUCGUUGUUCCUCCCAUCAGGUAAGUUGAUGGUCGCUCAUUCUCGACCAUCUUUAUUCUCUCUCUCUCUCUCUCUCUCUCUCUCUCUCUCUCGAUAUUUCAUCUACAUUCUCCCUUUUCUGUUGAAUAAUGUUUCUCUGUUGAGAAAACUUCAAUCGAUUCCAUAAAUUAGGGGUCCACUGUAAGUCGAUCUUAUUUCCAAGAGUUAUGAUGAUAGGUUUCAAGAAAAAAGAUGGGACGAAACAACCAACAUCUGAUGUUGAAAUAUGCAUCCGUUUCCGUUUCAGUUUCAUCUCUUCAUGUGUACAUUAGGUUUUUAUCAAAGUCAUAUAUGGUAUCGAAUAUGGAUCACAAAUUGGAAUCGAUGGGGUUAGUACCUUGUUUCAUCAAACCUUUUUACAUUCAUAUGUGUUAUGGUGUCAUGAAAACCAAAACAAGAAGAUAAAUGGGAAAAAUGAUAAAUUUUUACCAAUUUUGGUUGAAAAGAAACCAGUUUUUGUUAUUUUUUAAGAUUGGUUCAUUCAAAUGGAAAAAAUUGUUUAAUGCUUUAGUUUUUGUUUGCAAUUUUAAACUUUAAUGUAGGUGACCUGAAACGAAUCUGUGAGACUGGUCUUGGCGUUGUUUCUCGAUGCUCUCUGACUAAACAUGUUUUUAAGAUGGGCAAACAAUACCUUGCAAAAUUGGGGAUAUGAAUCAAAGCAUCAAUAUUGUUCUGGUGCAUCUUAAUUGUCGUAUUUGGAACUCAAGUUUGAAGUCUAUUUGGAAUUUAAAUCCGGGAUUCCAAAAUUGGAGAGGCAUUUUGACAUUCCCGUUAGUCGAUCUUUGAAUGCUAUGAACAAGGAGAUAUAUGAUUAAUAAUCCAUAAUACUUUAAUGGCUAUUGUAGACUACUUACAAAUUACAAAUUCCAUACCAAAAAUGAUUGAUUGACCAUUGAAUUCAUCCAUAAUUCUUAUCAGUUCUGCUGGGGCAUCAUCACCUGUUGUUGCCACUAAUGCUGGUAGUACAGAUUGGUUUGUUCAUUCAUACUUCCUAGAGUGUAUGAGAUACAUUUUUCUAUCUUCCGCGGUUCUAGUUGAGUUCUAUUUCCUAUAUCAUUGCUAAUUAUUUCUGUUUUCGAGAGAAAUUGCAACAUAAAUUGUAGUUAUUUACAAUUGUUGAGGAUUACUUAUUUUUUUAUUGUGUUACAGGAUUGUGAAUUGCUUUAUCUUGCUGAAUAAGAACCUAUGUGGUUAUCCAUUGACAUGUGUUAUGUGCACUAUAUUUAGGACAAAAGGGCAUUUUAGUCAUUUCUUUUUCUUUUCUCAGGGUGACAGUAUCCUAGCAGAUUCAAGCACAGAGCAACUGGAGUUUUUUAUGUUGAUGUUGGUGGGAUUGUUUUAUGUUGAUGAUUCAAAUAGUCUUUCAAAUGCCUUUGAGAAGGUAAUUGGCUUUUUGAUGGUGAAUUAGCUCCUGAUAGAAUCUCUGCUAUGGUGGGUGUGAAAGAGCUGAGAAAAAUCGCCCCUUUGAGAAGCUGCUGCAGCAGCUCUUAUUCCUUCAGCAGAAGUGCAACUUAAUUUCCAGAAAAGAAGGGGCCAUGGAAUCUUUUCUUUGUUACAUCCAAGGUUCAGCGGUGUGUUAGGCGAAGCUCUAGACUUGGCUGCUAGAUGGAGCAGGGAUGUGGUUAGUAGUUGAGUUAAAUCAGAUGUUUUGUUUCAAAUAAUAGUUAUAUAUUUAGUUUCCCUUUGAUAGUUUAAUGUUAGUUUGGUUCAGAUAACUGUUGAGAAGGUUGUUUUGGAACAAAGCAAUAGCUAGUAUGAGCUUCAAGGCGAAUACGUGUUUCCCGGGUCACAAGCUGGAAAUGAAACAGGAAAAGGGAACUUAUUAAGAAGAGCAAUGGCUGGUCAUUUAAGGAGUGUGAUAUCUUCUAUGGGUCACUGGAGAAUGAGGCUUGAGGUUCCACGUGCUGAAAUUGCUAAGAUGCUUCCACUUGCUAGGCUUGUUUCCCGAAAUACCGAUGCAGCUCUUUAGUUUAGAUUAAAGGUCAUCCUCAUUCAUUCAUUCAUUUAUUAAGUUUUAGUCUAUCAUCCAAACCCAAAAAGCUCUCAUCUAAAUCUAAUGUCUUCUAUGUGCAAAACACAUGAGAAUGAAUGAAUGAAUGCCUUCUACCAAAAUAUAGCAAACACAGCCAAUCCUAAUCCUGUUCAAAUACCAUAAGAGAGCAAAGUAAAGCAGGUUCCAUUCCCAUACAUUGGUUUAGUAAACAGACUAAAUAAAGUAGGUUGCUAUUUGUAGCAAAACUCUAUCUAGUCUAGGGGUAUAUAAAUAUUAUAUGAUUUUAGGUGAUGUUGUUCCCCAUUACCUUAAUGUUUAUCUUGCAUUGGGAGAUAUACGUGUUGCAAAGUGUAUCAAGUCUGACUACCCAUGAGUCCCAUUGGAGGAAGCUCAAGGUUCUUUACUUCUCUUACACUGUAAUAAUCCAUCUUCACACUUAUUUUGUAGUUAUGUUUUUUUUGCAGGCAAUAUAGAUACUUUGAGCAAGUUCAUCUUUUUAGAGUCAAUGAGCAGUGUUACUAAGGGAGAGUGGAGACAAGUGAGGCACACAUUUAAAAAAAUCAGCACAAAUUUUGUUUAUAGUGAGGCACACAUUAGGUUAUUAGAACUAUUAGUUUGUAAAUUUUUGUUACAACUUCUAUUGAUUUUUUUUAUCUUUCCAUGGAAUGAUUAUUUGUAUGACAUUAAAUUUAUG
Molecule: non-coding RNA, 3267 nt
Organism: Lactuca sativa (garden lettuce)
Lineage: Eukaryota; Viridiplantae; Streptophyta; Magnoliopsida; Asterales; Asteraceae
Source: RefSeq, a predicted model, not a curated record